CUUUGACUGUUCCUUAUCUUGUAACUUUGCCUAAUGGUUACAAAGUGAAAGUAACUUGUACAGGUUCUUUUGCAUUAACUUCAUUCAUUACUCUUCACAAUGUACUGCUGGUUCCUUCAUUUAAACACAACAUGAUUUCUGUCCACAAGUUGGUAAAACAGUUGCACUGUGUAGUUUUGUUUACUCCAACUUCCUGUUUACUCCACAUGAUACAGGACCCUUCUCUGAAGAGGCUUCUGGAUCUUGGUAAAGAGGAAGCUGGCCUAUACAAACUGUCUUGGAUGCCACCUUCCCCUUCUUCCUCUACUGGUUCUUCAUCUACUUCUGUAUGUGCUUUGUCUGAUUUUUGUAAUGAUGACAAUGUGUCUGUCUUGGUAAAGAGGAAGCUGGCCUAUACAAACUGUCUUGGGUGCCACCUUCCCCUUCUUCCUCUACUGGUUGUUCAUCUACUUCUGUAUGUACUUUGUCUGAUUCUUGUAAUGAUGACAAUGUGUCUGACAACAAGGAUGUUUCCUUGCCUUCAACUGUACAUAGUUCCAUUUGUAAUAAUGUUGUUACCACUGAUAUGAAUUACAUUUGGCAUUUAAGACUAGCAUAUACUUCAUUUG
This 608-nucleotide long non-coding RNA is filed under the name Nicotiana benthamiana. RNAcentral describes it as "long non-coding RNA (NBEN_LNC028138)". Lineage: Eukaryota; Viridiplantae; Streptophyta; Magnoliopsida; Solanales; Solanaceae. The record is from RNAcentral.